UUGACCUCGGAUCAGGUAGGAAUACCCGCUGAACUUAAGCAUAUCAAUAAGCGAGAA
Molecule: ribosomal RNA, 57 nt
Filed under: Neopestalotiopsis foedans
Lineage: Eukaryota; Fungi; Ascomycota; Sordariomycetes; Amphisphaeriales; Sporocadaceae
Description: partial 28S ribosomal RNA
Source: RNAcentral